RNAcentral lists this ribosomal RNA (397 nucleotides) under uncultured bacterium. RNAcentral describes it as "bacterial SSU rRNA". It matches the Rfam family "Bacterial small subunit ribosomal RNA", at positions 107 to 518 of the family's 1533-position model. The record is from RNAcentral.
UGAGUAACGCGUGGGUAACCUGCCUCAUACAGGGGGAUAACAGUCGGAAACGAUUGCUAAAACCGCAUAACAUAGCGAAACCGCAUGAUUUUGCUAUCAAAUAUUUAGUAGGUAUGAGAUGGGCCCGCGUCUGGAUUAGCUAGUUGGUGGGGUAAUGGCCUACCAAGGCGACGAUCAGUAGCCGGCUUGAGAGAGUGACCGGCCACAUUGGGACUGAGACACGGCCCAAACUCCUACGGGAGGCAGCAGUGGGGAAUAGUUGGACAAUGGGGGAAACCCUGAUCCAGCGACGCCCGCGUGAGUGAAGAAGUAUUUCGGUAUGUAAAGCUCUAUCAGCAGGGAAGAUAAUGACAGUACCUGACUAAGAAGCCCCGGCUAACUACGUGCCAGCAGCAGC